Molecule: ribosomal RNA, 424 nt
Filed under: uncultured bacterium
Lineage: Bacteria
Description: bacterial SSU rRNA
Rfam family: Bacterial small subunit ribosomal RNA
Source: RNAcentral
CAAGGAAUAUUGGGCAAUGGGCGCAAGCCUGACCCAGCGACGCCGCGUGGGGGACGAAGGCCUUCGGGUUGUAAACCCCUUUUCUUGGGGACGAAAAUGACGGUACCCGAGGAAGAAGCCCCGGCUAACUACGUGCCAGCAGCCGCGGUAAUACGUAGGGGGCGAGCGUUGUCCGGAAUUACUGGGCGUAAAGAGCACGUAGGCGGCUUGCUAAGAUGGGCGUGAAAUCCCCGGGCUCACCUCGGGGGGGUCGUCCGUGACUGGCAGGCUAGGGUCUGGGAGAGGCGAGUGGAAUUCCCGGUGGAGCGGUGAAAUGCGUAGAGAUCGGGAGGAACACCAGUGGCGAAGGCGACUCGCUGGGCCAGUACCGACGCUGAGGUGCAAAAGCGUGGGGAGCGAACCGGAUUAGAUACCCCCGUAGUCC